UCGUUAGGGUUUGGAUGGGUAGUUCGAGUGUAAAUACGGUCGUUUAAGGUCGUUAGGGUUUGGAUGGGUAGUUCGAGGUGUAAAUACGAGGUCGUUUAAGGUCGUUAGGGUUUGGAUGGGUAGUUCGAGGUGUAAAUACGAGGUCGUUUAAGGUCGUUGGGGUUGGAUGGGUAGUUCGAGGUGUAAAUACGAGGUCGUUUAAGGUCGUUGGGGUUUGGAUGGGUAGUUCGAGGUGUAAAUACGAGGUCGUUUAAGGUCGUUGGGGUUUGGAGGGUAGUUCGAGGUGUAAAUACGACGUCGUUUAAGGUCGUUGGGUUUGGAUGGGUAGUUCGAGGUGUAAAUACGAGGUCGUUAAGGUCGUUGGGGUUUGGAUGGGUAGUUCGAGGUGUAAAUACGACGUCGUUUAAGGUCGUUGGGGUUUGGAUGGGUAGUUCGAGGUGUAAAUACGAGGUCGUUUAAGGUCGUUAGGGUUUGGAUGGGUAGUUCGAGGUGUAAAUACGAGGUCGUUUAAGGUC
Non-coding RNA from Penaeus vannamei (Pacific white shrimp), 515 nucleotides. Lineage: Eukaryota; Metazoa; Arthropoda; Malacostraca; Decapoda; Penaeidae. The record is from RefSeq and is a predicted model, not a curated record.